CUAGGAAUAUUGCGCAAUGGACGAAAGUCUGACGCAGCAAUGCCGCGUGCAGGAUGAAGGCCUUCGGGUUGUAAACUGCUUUUAUGACUGAAGACUUCGACGGUAGGUCAUGAAUAAGCCUCGGCUAACUCCGUGCCAGCAGCCGCGGUCAUACGGAGGAGGCGAGCGUUAUCCGGAAUUACUGGGCGUAAAGAGAUGCGUAGGCUGCCUGUCAAGUUUUUGUUUAAAGUUUCCCGCUCAACGGGAGGAAUGACAGAAAAACUGACAGGCUAGAGAGCGGAAGAGGUAACUGGAAUUUCCGGUGUAGGGGUGAUAUCCGUAGAUAUCGGAAGGAACACCAAUGGCGAAGGCAGGUUACUGGUCCGUUUCUGACGCUCAGGCUCGAAAGCGUGGGGAGCGAACGGG
Molecule: ribosomal RNA, 405 nt
Filed under: uncultured bacterium
Lineage: Bacteria
Description: bacterial SSU rRNA
Rfam family: Bacterial small subunit ribosomal RNA
Source: RNAcentral